Molecule: ribosomal RNA, 119 nt
Filed under: Cyprinodon variegatus (sheepshead minnow)
Lineage: Eukaryota; Metazoa; Chordata; Actinopteri; Cyprinodontiformes; Cyprinodontidae
Source: RNAcentral
GCUUACGGCCAUACUGUCCUGAAAAUGGCCAAUUUCAUCUGAUCUUGGUAGCUAAGCAGGGUUGGGCCUGGUUAGUACUUGGAAUGCAGACCGCCUAGGAAUACCAGGUGCUUUAAGUG